RNAcentral lists this transfer RNA (72 nucleotides) under Bos taurus (domestic cattle). It matches the Rfam family "tRNA". From Rfam's summary of the family: Transfer RNA (tRNA) molecules are approximately 80 nucleotides in length. Their secondary structure includes four short double-helical elements and three loops (D, anti-codon, and T loops). Further hydrogen bonds mediate the characteristic L-shaped molecular structure. tRNAs have two regions of fundamental functional importance: the anti-codon, which is responsible for specific mRNA codon recognition, and the 3' end, to which the tRNAs corresponding amino acid is attached (by aminoacyl-tRNA synthetases). tRNAs cope with the degeneracy of the genetic code in two manners: having more than one tRNA (with a specific anti-codon) for a particular amino acid; and 'wobble' base-pairing, i.e. permitting non-standard base-pairing at the 3rd anti-codon position. RNAcentral also lists the same sequence under 4 other names. Lineage: Eukaryota; Metazoa; Chordata; Mammalia; Artiodactyla; Bovidae. The record is from Rfam by way of RNAcentral.
UCCCUGGUGGCUCAGAUGGUCAAGCAUCUGCCUACAGUGCGGGAGACCCAGGUUCAAUCCCUGGGUUGGGAA